RNAcentral lists this ribosomal RNA (440 nucleotides) under uncultured bacterium. Its description in RNAcentral is "partial 16S ribosomal RNA". It matches the Rfam family "Bacterial small subunit ribosomal RNA", at positions 338 to 795 of the family's 1533-position model. The record is from RNAcentral.
CCUACGGGAGGCAGCAGUGGGGAAUAUUGCACAAUGGGGGAAACCCUGAUGCAGCGACGCCGCGUGAGUGAAGAAGUAAUUCGUUAUGUAAAGCUCUAUCAGCAGGGAAGAAAAUGACGGUACCUGAGUAAGACGCCCCGGCUAACUACGUUCCCGCAGCCGCGGUCAUACGUAGGGGGCAAGCGUUAUCCGGAUGUACUGGGUGUAAAGGGAGCGUAGACGGCAGUGCAAGUCUGGAGUGAAAGGCGGGGGCUCAACCCCCGGACUGCUCUGGAAACUGUACGGCUGGAGUGCAGGAGAGGUAAGUGGAAUUCCUAGUGUAGCGGUGAAAUGCGUAGAUAUUAGGAGGAACACCAGUGGCGAAGGCGGCUUACUGGACUGUAACUGACGUUGAGGCUCGAAAGCGUGGGGAGCAAACAGGAUUAGAUACCCCGGUAGUC